UUUGUGAAAUUUGCUUUCUUUCCAAGGCUUAGAUGAGAAGAUUGACAUUUUAUGAUUACAUGAAUUGCAUUGGCUUAGCUUAGCUUAGCAUAAAACCAGUACAUAAACAGAAAUGGAAAAGUUACAGUUUGUGGUUUUAUGAGGCACUAUUUCUCAUGUACACCUGGGAAUGAAUUUACUUCUUAGAGUCUUGUCAUCACCAUGUUGAUCAUCAAGAGCCUGUUACAUUAUGGAACUACCUCUAAAACCAUAUACAUUGUCAUUUCUACAUCUCUGUUUGUGUAUGGAUUAAAUAAAUGAGAUACCAUGUAUUAAUUAGUCUGGUUUGAGGUCCUACUUGGAGUAAUUCAGUUAGUCAGGUUAGCUGUGUUGAUGCUAAGCUAAGCUAAUCACCCUCCAGCUUUAGAACUAUACUUAAUGUACAGACAUGAAAGUGGGGUCAACUAACUCUCAGUAAUAAAGUAAGAAAUGUUAAAAUGUUAUAGUAUGCUUUUAUAGUUAAUACUGUUAUCAUGAUUUAGGGCAAAUUGUUUGUAUGAAAUAUAAAUGUUAUUUUAGUCUCUAAUUUGUCUUUUCAACCCUACAGCCUUGAAACGGACCAGCAUAAGCAAUACUGUGUGGAUCCAACUGCUGAGUGGCUUCCAAGGAGACUUAAGAGGUUAGAACAGAGAGGAAUAAAAUGUACAGAGCUUUAACAAAGCCUUCAAUAACCAAGAUGAGGAUGAUGCAACAUGACCUUCUGAGCAGAAUGGUGGCGCUAAUUUCUGUUAAACUUUUCUAACUUUGAUCAAAUGUUUUACUUUCUCUAUUUUUCAAUACAUAUUUACCAGUGGCUUGGCAAAAAUCUUACUAUCUUAUAAGCAAAUUAAAAAAGAUGUGAAAAA
Molecule: long non-coding RNA, 884 nt
Organism: Scomber japonicus (chub mackerel)
Lineage: Eukaryota; Metazoa; Chordata; Actinopteri; Scombriformes; Scombridae
Exons: 2
Source: RefSeq, a predicted model, not a curated record